GGAGGACAGACCACACUGUGGCCAAACAGGAAAGCCUUCCAUCUGACUCGGGGUGGGGAUGUAAUGGGAAAGGCGGCGGGCUCACAGAUUUACAGAAACAGGAUGGAGCGCCCCAGACAGACCCACGCUCUGGAAAUGCCCGGGAUGAGUGAGAGGUCCUCUGAAGUUGUUUGAUCAUUAUGAUUGUCAAACACUAGCAAUUGUGCCCACUGAUUUUCCUAAGGAAGUGUUGGAAUGUUAAUAAAACUCCAGGAACCUCUAUGUGCUGUUGAUGGGACUGUAAGGAAAAGGUUAUUUUGAUUCUUCAAAAAAA
RNAcentral lists this long non-coding RNA (313 nucleotides) under Mus pahari (shrew mouse). Its description in RNAcentral is "predicted gene, 26978 (MGP_PahariEiJ_G0032925.1)". Lineage: Eukaryota; Metazoa; Chordata; Mammalia; Rodentia; Muridae. The record is from RNAcentral.